AUUGAACGCUGGCGGCAGGCCUAACACAUGCAAGUCGGACGGUAGCACAGGGGAGCUUGCUCUCCGGGUGACGAGUGGCGGACGGGUGAGUAAUGUCUGGGAAACUGCCCGGUGGAGGGGGAUAACUACUGGAAACGGUAGCUAAUACCGCAUAACGUCUUCGGACCAAAGUGGGGGAUCUUCGGACCUCACGCCACCGGAUGUGCCCAGAUGGGAUUAGCUAGUAGGUGGGGUAACGGCUCACCUAGGCGACGAUCCCUAGCUGGUCUGAGAGGAUGACCAGCCACACUGGAACUGAGACACGGUCCAGACUCCUACGGGAGGCAGCAGUGGGGAAUAUUGCACAAUGGGCGCAAGCCUGAUGCAGCCAUGCCGCGUGUAUGAAGAAGGCCUUCGGGUUGUAAAGUACUUUCAGCGGGGAGGAAGGGGUGAGGUUAA
RNAcentral lists this ribosomal RNA (438 nucleotides) under uncultured bacterium. RNAcentral describes it as "bacterial SSU rRNA". It matches the Rfam family "Bacterial small subunit ribosomal RNA", at positions 29 to 462 of the family's 1533-position model. The record is from RNAcentral.